This 288-nucleotide signal recognition particle RNA is filed under the name Phascolarctos cinereus (koala). RNAcentral describes it as "Metazoan signal recognition particle RNA (ENSPCIG00000002859.2)". It matches the Rfam family "Metazoan signal recognition particle RNA". Rfam says of the family: The signal recognition particle (SRP) is a universally conserved ribonucleoprotein. Lineage: Eukaryota; Metazoa; Chordata; Mammalia; Diprotodontia; Phascolarctidae. The record is from RNAcentral.
ACUCUACCAGUCUUCCCAGCUACUGAGUAGUUUAAGGCUCUGAGAUCUCUUGAGUCAGGGAGUUCUGACUUGAAGUCAGCUAUACCAAUCUUGUCUCCACUAAGUUUGACAUUAAUAUAAUGAGCUCCUGAGAGCAGGGGCCCCCUAAAUUGCUUAUUAGGGGGGCAAACCAGCCAAGGUUGGAAACAGAGCAGGUCAAAACUCCCAUGGCAAUUAGAGAGGGAUCAAGUAUCUGAGUAGCUCAUAUACUACCAGUCAGCUUAGACAAAAUGGGAAUUCCUAGUCUAA